Molecule: small nucleolar RNA, 107 nt
Filed under: Olea europaea subsp. europaea
Lineage: Eukaryota; Viridiplantae; Streptophyta; Magnoliopsida; Lamiales; Oleaceae
Description: Plant small nucleolar RNA R71
Rfam family: Plant small nucleolar RNA R71
About the family: R71 is a member of the C/D box family of snoRNAs containing the C (UGAUGA) and D (CUGA) box motifs. Multiple nearly identical copies of this snoRNA have been identified in Arabidopsis, and it is thought to function as a 2'-O-ribose methylation guide for 18S ribosomal RNA.
Source: Rfam by way of RNAcentral
AUCCCAUGGUUUGGACACUUUCUCAUCAGGUCAUUAAAUCUGUUCCAUGCUUCAUGGUAGCUUUCUCCAUCUUUCUAUUGAAAUGUUUGAAUCUCCAAUCUGAUUUU